UACGUAGGGUGCAAGCGUUGUCCGGAAUUAUUGGGCGUAAAGAGCUCGUAGGCGGUUUGUCGCGUCUGCUGUGAAAACUCGGGGCUUAACCCCGGGCCUGCAGUGGGUACGGGCAGACUAGAGUCCGGAAGAGGAGAGUGGAAUUCCUGGCGUAGCGGUGAAAUGCGCAGAUAUCAGGAAGAACACCCGUGGCGAAGGCGGCUCUCUGGGACGGUACUGACGCUGAGACGCGAAAGCGUGGGGAGCGAACAGG
Molecule: ribosomal RNA, 253 nt
Filed under: uncultured bacterium
Lineage: Bacteria
Description: partial 16S ribosomal RNA
Rfam family: Bacterial small subunit ribosomal RNA
Source: RNAcentral